This 253-nucleotide ribosomal RNA is filed under the name uncultured prokaryote. RNAcentral describes it as "partial 16S ribosomal RNA". It matches the Rfam family "Bacterial small subunit ribosomal RNA", at positions 524 to 776 of the family's 1533-position model. The record is from RNAcentral.
UACGUAGGGGGCUAGCGUUGUCCGGAAUCAUUGGGCGUAAAGAGCGUGUAGGCGGCUCGGUAAGUCUGCUGUGAAAGUCCAGGGCUCAACCCUGGAAUGCCGGUGGAAACUGUCGAGCUAGAGGACGGGAGAGGAGCGCGGAAUUCCCGGUGUAGCGGUGAAAUGCGUAGAGAUCGGGAGGAAGGCCGGUGGCGAAGGCGGCGCUCUGGAACGUUUCUGACACUGAGGCUCGAAAGCGUGGGGAGCAAACAGG